UUUUUUGUUAAGCUUAUGUAUGAUCGUUUAUUUUUUCCUUGGGGGAAAGGAUGUUAAAAUUAUUAAAUUUUAAAAAUAGAUAUAUAUUUGGUUUAUGAAUUAAGUUUUGUUUGACCUACAUUGUUUUAGAUUUUGGAUUAUUGGUGUAGUGCUUGUAUGAAAUUGUAAAAGACAGUA
Molecule: ribosomal RNA, 177 nt
Filed under: Crenosoma striatum
Lineage: Eukaryota; Metazoa; Nematoda; Chromadorea; Rhabditida; Crenosomatidae
Description: partial small subunit ribosomal RNA
Source: RNAcentral